Molecule: long non-coding RNA, 2241 nt
Organism: Cavia porcellus (domestic guinea pig)
Lineage: Eukaryota; Metazoa; Chordata; Mammalia; Rodentia; Caviidae
Exons: 3
Source: RefSeq, a predicted model, not a curated record
UGGAGAGAGGCAUGACUGUAAUUAGACAAAAGAGCAGGACCAAGAGUUUAAAAUGAGUAAACACAUGAAAUAUGCAAGAUGUCGAGAUUUAGACCAGCGAAGGGAGCUUCUGAAGAUGACAGAGAUUGCUGGAGUCUGUGCGCUAGCUGUGCAAAAGACUAUCUUCCUGAGAGAGCAAUGAAAUUUAUUUCAUGAGAUUUGGGAAGAGAAUCUGAAUCAGGUCACAAGAUAAAAAUAUCUAAUGUGUUCUGGACAGUGGACUCAGAGAUGUGCGCUCAGAUCCUUCUCUUGGAACAAAGGAUCCAUUUCCCCAGCUGCUAGGAUGCUGCCGGAUGGCAUUUUCGGGACUUCUGCCUAUUUUGGAGAUUGUUGUGGCUGCAGAAAUCUGUCUGUCUCCAAGAUCAAGGGCCCCUCCUGGUGGUCUAGACCCAGCAGGUGCUCCUGAACCUUUGCUCACCAGACUUUAUGGUGAUCUACAUUUCACUGUCUGAUUUUCUGGAAGACAUUGUCCUGGGUGCUGUAGAGGCUGCUUCCAGGUAGUCAUCAAAUGUCAGUGUCCUUUAGAACUUGUCACAGUUCAAGAAAGUUUUCUUCACUGAGUCAGUCUCUUUCCAAGAACAGCCCAUGUGCAUCGGCUGACCAAUGGGUGUCAUCUUCAUUGCCAUGUGGGUAAUCUAGGCAGACCAGGCCACACUGAAAGCCUCCCAUGACUUUACUCAGCCUCCCUUGCUCCCAAUUCCACUUCUGCUUCCUUUCCUUUCCCCAGGGCGUGCCUGAGUCCACCUUUUGUCUGCUGAGGGCCACCUGACAGUCUUUGCCUGUGCCAUCUUGCUAAUCCACCUUAGUUUUUUACUCCAAUUUUUACCUUAACAAUGUACUCCAGUAAGCAUCUAUUUCAUGUGACUUUCUGGGGGAAACAAAUGGCUGUUAGUAUUAUCUUAUUGCUUUUCACAAAGUUGUUUUUCUCUUAGUGUUCAUGGUUUAAAGUUUUUAAAAGCCCAUUGAUGAUGUCCCUGAUUCAGAAUGGCGUAAUGCUUUGCUUCAUUGAUUUCAAUUAUCAAAGACUCCCAUUUUAUACUUUUUGAUCUUCCUUUUAGUAAAUUAAAUUUUUGACUUACUGAUAGGUCCACAGAAUAUCAGCUAACACAUGUGCCUAUUAUAUCUUGAACACAAUUCCUAUAGUCCUUCUACUGAACAACAAACCAACAGCUCUGUAACACUGGUAAUUUUAUCUGAGUCUGGCAGAGAUUAUCUACUUCCUUAUUACUAAUGAUCAGUUUCUCUGAAGAAGAGCAUGAGGUUACUUCGUUAAACACUAUUGUCUUAGAUACUUUUCUUUCAUUGUUAAGACAAAAUAUUUUAUGCCCAAAAUUAAGGAAAGAAAGAUUUAUUUAGCUCACCACUUGUGGAGGUUUCAGUCCAUAUUUGGCUGGCUCCAAGGCCAGGUGGCACAAGGCAAGUGGCAAUAACUCAUGGUGGCCAGAAGACAGCAAAAAUAACAAGAGCAAAAAAGGAAGCACAUAGAAGAAAAUAUUUUCUAUCCCUUAUAUUUUAUGUAGGCCACACCUACCCUAGAGUGAGUGUAACAUUCACACUCAUAAUGCUAGCACUGGAUCAUGAAUUAAGUACAAAUUCUAGAAGUUGCCCUCAUGAGUGCAUGAAGUUUUGAGGGGACAUCCAGACACAACUGUAACAAUAAUAUUUCCUGUUCUCUUUUAUGUGGCCACAUGACUACAUCCUGGGCAUUUGGAAUAUGAUUGAGAAUGACACAUGGAAGGACAAUUUCUCAUGGAUGGAUAUGGUCACACUGGCAGGAGCUAGAAGAGUCACCUUGAAGCACAUGGAUGAUAGCAGAACAAGAUAGAUGGAGCCUGGCUUCCAAAACAGACCACCAAAUCAGCCAAGACUUUUGCGUGGGAAGGAAAAUACAUCUAUAUUAUUGGAGGCAUUAUUAUGUUGGGUCUCUAUUACAGCAACCAAAUCAAUCUCUUAAUCCUGAAGGAAUAUACAUAUCUGAAGGAUGUUUCCUAAUGUGAUGUUCAUGCAAUCAGUCAAUUAGUUACUUUCCAAUAGAUUGGGGGAUAUAUGAGUUCUUCUACAGUUAUGUUUGUUAACCUGAGGUAGCUGGGCUUCUAUGAGGAAGUGAUGGUAUCCUUGACAGCUCAAGAAUAUACAGGACCAGUAUGACAUUUCUGCAAGUAUUGGCUUUCCUCCAAGUUCAAUAAAAAUGAAAUUUCAAAA